Non-coding RNA from Oryzias latipes (Japanese medaka), 757 nucleotides. The record is from RefSeq and is a predicted model, not a curated record. NCBI's taxonomy places the organism in Eukaryota, Metazoa, Chordata, Actinopteri, Beloniformes, Adrianichthyidae.
CUAUUUUCUCUGAUUUCAUGUAUGUUUUAUACUGGAUUUGUUAGAAAAACCAGUUCAUUUACAUUUUUUUCGUCCAAUUUAGCUUUUUCUUCUUCUUUUUGAAUCUCUUUUCAAGACCACUUGAUUUUGAAGAAGAGGAGGCAGUCGAGGAAGCCAUCAGACGCAGUUUGGAAGAAGAAACUGUCCAGGUUCCACAAGAGUCGAGGUCUAUUAAAACGUUGACAACAGAAGAAAUAACUGGAAUUGUAAAAGCUCACAGUGAAAUGGUUGUUACAGAAGGAUUUAGGUCAAUUAUUGUCAGCCGAAGAAAUGUGUGGACAUCUGCGAUCCGACAAUUCCGGCGACCAAGAUUUGUUGAAAGCACCGAUAUGCUGUAUGUAACCUUUGCCAGUGAUGAAAACACCACAGAAGAUGCAGAAGAUCUUGGAGGUCCCCGUCGAGAAUUCUUUCGCUUGCUUGUUAAAGCAAUUUUCCAAGAAAGUGGGGCAUUUGAGGAGUCCCCCAAUGGCUUCAUUCCAAGACUAAAUGUUUCACAUGUCCAAAAUCGAGUCUACCGCACUAUUGGUCAGAUGAUGUCUACCAUCAUUGUCCAAGGUGGAGAAUGUCCUGCUCUCCUUUCCUUUGUUGUCUUGGACUACCUGCUGACUGGGCGUAUGUUCGACAUCCGCGUUUCUCCAGAGGAUGUUGCCGAUGUGGAACUUAGAGACAGCCUCAAGACAAUUGAUCAAGCAACAACUGAUGAUGAUCUGCAAUGAGC